CCUACGGGAGGCAGCAGUGGGGCAUUUGGACAAUGGGCGCAAGCCUGAUCCAGCCAUGCCGCGUGAGUGAAGAAGGCCUUCGGGUUGUAAAGCUCUUUCGGCCGGGAAGAAAUCGCAUUGGUUAAUACCUGGUGUGGAUGACGGUACCGGAAUAAGAAGCACCGGCUAACUACGUGCCAGCAGCCGCGGUAAUACGUAGGGUGCGAGCGUUGUAAUCGGAAUUACUGGGCGUAAAGCGUGCGCAGGCGGUUUUUGUAAGACAGGCGUGAAAUCACCGGGCUCAACCUGGGAACUGCGCUUGUGACUGCAAGGCUAGAGUACGGCAGAGGGGGGUGGAAUUCCACGUGUAGCAGUGAAAUGCGUAGAGAUGUGGAGGAACACCAAUGGCGAAGGCAGCCCCCUGGGUCGAUACUGACGCUCAUGCACGAAAGCGUGGGUAGCAACACAGGAUUAGAUACCCUGGUAGUCCACGCCCUAAACGAUGUCAACUAGGUGUUGGGGGAGGAGACUUCCUUAGUACCGCAGCUAACGCGUGAAGUUGACCGCCUGGGGAGUACGGCCGCAAGGUUAAAACUCAAAGGAAUUGACGGGGACCCGCACAAGCGGUGGAUUAUGUGGAUUAAUUCGAUGCAACGCGAAAAACCUUACCUACCCUUGACAUGUCAGAAAGUUUCCAGAGAUGGAUUCGUGCCCGAAAGGGAAUCUGAACACAGGUGCUGCAUGGCUGUCGUCAGCUCGUGUCGUGAGAUGUUGGGUUAAGUCCCGCAACGAGCGCAACCCUUGUCAUUAAUUGCCAUCAUUCAGUUGGGCACUUUAAUGAGACUGCCGGUGAUAAACCGGAGGAAGGUGGGGAUGACGUCAAGUCCUCAUGGCCCUUAUGGGUAGGGCUUCGCACGUAAUACAAUGGUCGGUACAGAGGGUCGCCAACCCGCGAGGGGGAGCCAAUCUCAGAAAGCCGAUCGUAGUCCGGAUUGUUCUCUGCAACUCGAGAGCAUGAAGUCGGAAUCGCUAGUAAUCGCGGAUCAGCAUGUCGCGGUGAAUACGU
RNAcentral lists this ribosomal RNA (1045 nucleotides) under uncultured Candidatus Nitrotoga sp. RNAcentral describes it as "bacterial SSU rRNA". It matches the Rfam family "Bacterial small subunit ribosomal RNA", at positions 338 to 1371 of the family's 1533-position model. Lineage: Bacteria; Pseudomonadati; Pseudomonadota; Betaproteobacteria; Nitrosomonadales; Gallionellaceae. The record is from RNAcentral.